UUUUUAUGUAUGCCUUCCUGUCUUGAAUGCCAUCAUUAAUUUCCCUGCUUAUUGGUUUGGUGUUUUGCAGUUAUAACUUGAAACUCUGUAUUUCGAGUCCUGAAGAAGGUCCCCAUCGGGAUUGAAACGUCGACUAGAUGAAAUAAAGAAGAGUUAUUUAAUAACACCUAUCAAUUACCCACACCCCUUAUCAAUCUUUUUGUUUUAUGAAUUCAGACAUGAAAACAUCCCAUUGUCUAUU
Coccinella septempunctata (seven-spotted ladybird) is the source of this 241-nucleotide long non-coding RNA. RefSeq lists it as uncharacterized. NCBI's taxonomy places the organism in Eukaryota, Metazoa, Arthropoda, Insecta, Coleoptera, Coccinellidae. The record is from RefSeq and is a predicted model, not a curated record. The transcript has 2 exons.